UACGAAGGGGGCUAGCGUUGCUCGGAAUCACUGGGCGUAAAGCGCACGUAGGGCGGAUUGCUAAGUCAGGGGUGAAAUCCUGGAGCUCAACUCCAGAACUGCCUUUGAUACUGGCGAUCUCGAGUCCGGGAGAGGUGAGUGGAACUGCGAGUGUAGAGGUGAAAUUCGUAGAUAUUCGCAAGAACACCAGUGGCGAAGGGCGGCUCACUGGCCCGGUACUGACGCUGAGGUGGCGGAAAGCGUGGGGAGCAACAGGG
RNAcentral lists this ribosomal RNA (257 nucleotides) under uncultured bacterium. RNAcentral describes it as "partial 16S ribosomal RNA". It matches the Rfam family "Bacterial small subunit ribosomal RNA", at positions 524 to 776 of the family's 1533-position model. The record is from RNAcentral.